RNAcentral lists this ribosomal RNA (484 nucleotides) under uncultured bacterium. RNAcentral's name for it is "partial 16S ribosomal RNA". It matches the Rfam family "Bacterial small subunit ribosomal RNA", at positions 30 to 507 of the family's 1533-position model. The record is from RNAcentral.
AUUGAACGCUGGCGGCAGGCCUAACACAUGCAAGUCGAGCGGUAGAGAGAAGCUUGCUUCUCUUGAGAGCGGCGGACGGGUGAGUAAUGCCUAGGAAUCUGCCUGGUAGUGGGGGAUAACGUUCGGAAACGGACGCUAAUACCGCAUACGUCCUACGGGAGAAAGCAGGGGACCUUCGGGCCUUGCGCUAUCAGAUGAGCCUAGGUCGGAUUAGCUAGUUGGUGGGGUAAUGGCUCACCAAGGCGACGAUCCGUAACUGGUCUGAGAGGAUGAUCAGUCACACUGGAACUGAGACACGGUCCAGACUCCUACGGGAGGCAGCAGUGGGGAAUAUUGGACAAUGGGCGAAAGCCUGAUCCAGCCAUGCCGCGUGUGUGAAGAAGGUCUUCGGAUUGUAAAGCACUUUAAGUUGGGAAGAAGGGCAGUAAAUUAAUACUUUGCUGUUUUGACGUUACCGACAGAAUAAGCACCGGCUAACUCUGUG